GAGUGGACUAGCUAACUGAAAUCAAUUAAAAAUUGAUAACAUAAGGGAAAAUAAUGAUAUUACCUUAUUAUUAGUGUCGUCCAAAACUGGUGCCAGAAGACUCGGUAAGGCCAGAGACACAAACGUUAAUCGUCUUAAUCAGGCGUAAAGGGUUUGUAGGCGGCUUUAAAAUUUAUUUAAAAUAAUAUUAAGUAAAGAAUAAAAGCUAGAAUCAAAUAGAGGAUAUAUGAAAGAAUGCUUAGAGUAGGUCUGAUAUCCUUAGAUACUAAGUAGAAUAUUAAAGGCGAAAGCUUUUUUCCAUUAAUGAUUGACGCUCAGAAACGAAGGUGAGGAUAGGAAAUAGGAUUAGAUACCCAGAAUACCCCUCUCUGUCAACGAUGAAUGGUAGUUAUUAAUAAGAAUUAUUAAUGGCAAUGUUAACACGAUAACCAUUCCGCCUUGUGAGUACAACUGCAAAGUUGAAAACAAAAAAAUUAGUCGGUUUCGGAGCAAACGAAGUGAAGCAUGUUAUUUAAUAAAAAAAUAUCCCGCAAA
This 534-nucleotide ribosomal RNA is filed under the name Russula sp. RNAcentral's name for it is "partial small subunit ribosomal RNA". It matches the Rfam family "Bacterial small subunit ribosomal RNA", at positions 399 to 967 of the family's 1533-position model. The record is from RNAcentral. Lineage: Eukaryota; Fungi; Basidiomycota; Agaricomycetes; Russulales; Russulaceae.